GUAGGUGGCAAGCGUUGUCCGGGAAUUAUUGGGGCGUAAAGCGCGCGCAGGCGGUUCUCUAAGUCUGAUGUGAAAGCCCACGGGCUCAACCGUGGAGGGUCAUUGGAAACUGGAGAACUUGAGUACAGAAGAGGAAAGCGGAAUUCCACGUGUAGCGGUGAAAUGCGUAGAGAUGUGGAGGAACACCAGUGGCGAAGGCGGCUUUCUGGCCUGUAACUGACGCUGAGGCGCGAAAGCGUGGGGAGCAAACAGGAUUAGAUACCCUGGUAGUCCACGCCGUAAACGAUGAGUGCUAAGUGUUAGGGGGUUUCCGCCCCUUAGUGCUGCAGCUAACGCAUUAAGCACUCCGCCUGGGGAGUACGGCCGCAAGGCUG
Molecule: ribosomal RNA, 374 nt
Filed under: uncultured organism
Description: partial 16S ribosomal RNA
Rfam family: Bacterial small subunit ribosomal RNA
Source: RNAcentral